UGCGCAGGCGGUUUCACAAGCUCGAUGUGAAAGCCCCGGGCUUAACCUGGGAAUUGCAUUGAGGACUGUGGAGCUAGAGUGCGGCAGAGGGAGGUGGAAUUCCACGUGUAGCAGUGAAAUGCGUAGAGAUGUGGAGGAACACCGAUGGCGAAGGCAGCCUCCUGGGCCGACACUGACGCUCAUGCACGAAAGCGUGGGGAGCAAACA
RNAcentral lists this ribosomal RNA (207 nucleotides) under uncultured beta proteobacterium. RNAcentral describes it as "partial 16S ribosomal RNA". It matches the Rfam family "Bacterial small subunit ribosomal RNA", at positions 568 to 774 of the family's 1533-position model. Lineage: Bacteria; Pseudomonadati; Pseudomonadota; Betaproteobacteria. The record is from RNAcentral.